GAGUUCAUGCCCUUCGGGGUAGAUCUCCCACCCUUUGUAUACCAUACCUCUGUUGCUUUGGCGGGCCGCCUAGCUACUGGCUUCGGCUGGUAAGUGCCCGCCGGAGGACCCAAACUCUUGUUUCUAGCAGUGGCAUCUUCUGAGUAAUUUUAUAAAUAAAUCAAAACUUUCAACAACGGAUCUCUUGGCUCU
This 192-nucleotide unclassified non-coding RNA is filed under the name rhizosphere metagenome. Its description in RNAcentral is "partial ribosomal RNA internal transcribed spacer region". The record is from RNAcentral.